CUCAGCUUUUGCUAAAAAUCUUCUUCUAACAAAAAUACACCCUACUUGAUGUCUUUGCCCUUCCUCAGAGCCUUCAUGGACAGAUCCAGCGUGGAUUAUUUAUCUCUCACCUGUGUUUCCAGAUUCUUCCGGGUGAGGAGAUGUCAAAAUCAAGAAGCUCCCAAAAAAUGCAAAGUGAAUAGUUG
Molecule: long non-coding RNA, 185 nt
Filed under: Chinchilla lanigera (long-tailed chinchilla)
Lineage: Eukaryota; Metazoa; Chordata; Mammalia; Rodentia; Chinchillidae
Description: lncRNA (ENSCLAG00000024238.1)
Source: RNAcentral